UACAUAGGGAGCAAGCGUUAUCCGGAUUUAUUGGGUGUAAAGGGUGCGUAGACGGGAAAUUAAGUUAGUUGUGAAAUCCCUCGGCUUAACUGAGGAACUGCAACUAAAACUGAUUUUCUUGAGUACUGGAGAGGAAAGUGGAAUUCCAUGUGUAGCGGUGAAAUGCGUAGAGAUAUGGAGGAACACCAGUGGCGAAGGCGGCUUCCUGGUCUGCAACUGACACUGAGGCGCGAAAGCGUGGGGAGCAAACAGG
This 253-nucleotide ribosomal RNA is filed under the name uncultured Eubacteriales bacterium. RNAcentral describes it as "uncultured Clostridiales bacterium partial 16S ribosomal RNA". It matches the Rfam family "Bacterial small subunit ribosomal RNA", at positions 524 to 776 of the family's 1533-position model. Lineage: Bacteria; Bacillati; Bacillota; Clostridia; Eubacteriales. The record is from RNAcentral.